UGGAUAGAUUAUUGUAUUCAACUGUAUUCGACUGUAUUCACGGCUUGAAACAGGGGAUUACACUGUUUUUAAACAGAAAGUGAAUCAAUUAACAUAAUAGACUCCU
This 106-nucleotide microRNA precursor is filed under the name Nicotiana attenuata. RNAcentral describes it as "MIR6152 microRNA precursor family". It matches the Rfam family "MIR6152 microRNA precursor family". The record is from Rfam by way of RNAcentral. Lineage: Eukaryota; Viridiplantae; Streptophyta; Magnoliopsida; Solanales; Solanaceae.